RNAcentral lists this ribosomal RNA (433 nucleotides) under uncultured microorganism. Its description in RNAcentral is "bacterial SSU rRNA". It matches the Rfam family "Bacterial small subunit ribosomal RNA", at positions 346 to 795 of the family's 1533-position model. The record is from RNAcentral.
CGGCUGCAGUCAAGAAUAUUCCGCAAUGGGCGAAAGCCUGACGGAGCGACGCCGCGUGCCAGAUGAAGCCCUUCGGGGUGUAAAUGGCUUUUCCCAAGGACGAACAUUGACGGUACUUGGGGAAUAAGGGGCCGCCAAACUCGUGCCAGCAGCGGCGGUAAUACGAGUGCCCCGAGCGUUAUCCGGAUUCACUGGGCGUAAAGGGUCCGUAGGCGGCCUGAUACAUCCUCUGUCAAAUCUCAGGGCUCAACCCUGAGGCCGCAGGGGAAAUGGUCAGGCUUGAGGCCGGGAGAGGUAUGCGGAACUGCAGGUGUAGGGGUUAAAUCCGUUCAUAUCUGCAGGAACACCAAAGGCGAAAGCAGCAUACUGGAACGGUUCUGACGCUGAAGGACGAAAGCGUGGGUAGCGAAUGGGAUUAGAUACCCCAGUAGUC